This 520-nucleotide ribosomal RNA is filed under the name uncultured bacterium. RNAcentral describes it as "bacterial SSU rRNA". It matches the Rfam family "Bacterial small subunit ribosomal RNA", at positions 120 to 674 of the family's 1533-position model. The record is from RNAcentral.
GGGAAUCUACCGUGCCCUGCGGAAUAGCUCCGGGAAACUGGAAUUAAUACCGCAUACGCCCUACGGGGGAAAGAUUUAUCGGGGUAUGAUGAGCCCGCGUUGGAUUAGCUAGUUGGUGGGGUAAAGGCCUACCAAGGCGACGAUCCAUAGCUGGUCUGAGAGGAUGAUCAGCCACAUUGGGACUGAGACACGGCCCAAACUCCUACGGGAGGCAGCAGUGGGGAAUAUUGGACAAUGGGCGCAAGUCUGAUCCAGCCAUGCCGCGUGAGUGAUGAAGGCCUUAGGGUUGUAAAGCUCUUUCACCGGAGAAGAUAAUGACGGUAUCCGGAGAAGAAGCCCCGGCUAACUUCGUGCCAGCAGCCGCGGUAAUACGAAGGGGGCUAGCGUUGUUCGGAAUUACUGGGCGUAAAGCGCACGUAGGCGGAUAUUUAAGUCAGGGGUGAAAUCCCAGAGCUCAACUCUGGAACUGCCUUUGAUACUGGGUAUCUUGAGUAUGGAAGAGGUAAGUGGAAUUGCGAGU